UUGCUGUACUUUCCUACAGGUGUGUGA
This 27-nucleotide non-coding RNA is filed under the name Homo sapiens (human). The record is from RNAcentral. Lineage: Eukaryota; Metazoa; Chordata; Mammalia; Primates; Hominidae.